RNAcentral lists this ribosomal RNA (534 nucleotides) under uncultured bacterium. RNAcentral's name for it is "bacterial SSU rRNA". It matches the Rfam family "Bacterial small subunit ribosomal RNA", at positions 122 to 667 of the family's 1533-position model. The record is from RNAcentral.
UAACCUACCCCGGGGAUGGGGAUAGCCUUCCUAACGGAGGGGUAAUACCCGGCGAUGUAGGCAGGCCGCAUGGUCGGCUUAUGAGAUGAAUUUCGCCUCGGGAGGGGCUCACGUGGUAUUAGCUUGUUGGUGGGGUAACGGCCUACCAAGGCAAAGAUGCCUAGCUGGUGUGAGAGCAUGACCAGCGCCACUGGCACUGAGACACUGGCCAGACUCCUACGGGAGGCUGCAGUCGAGAAUCUUCCGCAAUGGGCGCAAGCCUGACGGAGCGACGCCGCGUGUGUGAUGAAGGCCUUCGGGUUGUAAAGCACUGUCGAGGGGGAGAAAGGCGUAAGCUUGAUCGAUCCCUGGAGGAAGCACGGGCUAAGUUCGUGCCAGCAGCCGCGGUAAGACGAACCGUGCGAACGUUGUUCGGAAUCACUGGGCUUAAAGGGCGCGUAGGCGGGCUGUCAAGUCUGGGGUGAAAGCUUCCGGCUCAACCGGAAAAGUGCCUCGGAUUCUGGCGGUCUAUAGCGAAAUUAGGGCAUGUGGAAC